AGAGUUUGAUCCUGGCUCAGGAUGAACGCUGGCGGUAUGCUUUACACAUGCAAGUUUAACGAGAAUUUUAAAAAUUUUAGUAGCGUACGGGUGCGUAAUAUAUGAGAAUUUACCCUUAGGAGGGGAAUAACAUUUAGAAAUAAUUGCUAAUGCCCUAUACAGCUUUAAUCAAGUGAAAUGAAUAAUAUUCGCCAAAGGAAAAGCUCAUGCCUGAUUAGCUAGUUGGUGAGGUAAUUACCCACAAAGGCGAUGAUCAGUAGCUGGUUUGGGAGGAUGAUCAGCCACACUGGGACUGGGACACGGUCCAGACUCCUACGGAAGGCAGUAGUGGAGAAUUUUCUGCGAUGAGCGAAAGCUAGCGAAUCGAUAAAUUUACUCUAAAUUCGGAUUGUAGGCUG
RNAcentral lists this ribosomal RNA (398 nucleotides) under uncultured bacterium SY4-7. RNAcentral describes it as "bacterial SSU rRNA". It matches the Rfam family "Bacterial small subunit ribosomal RNA", at positions 8 to 425 of the family's 1533-position model. The record is from RNAcentral.